This 212-nucleotide ribosomal RNA is filed under the name uncultured Thauera sp. RNAcentral's name for it is "partial 16S ribosomal RNA". It matches the Rfam family "Bacterial small subunit ribosomal RNA", at positions 1174 to 1382 of the family's 1533-position model. Lineage: Bacteria; Pseudomonadati; Pseudomonadota; Betaproteobacteria; Rhodocyclales; Zoogloeaceae. The record is from RNAcentral.
UGGGGAUGACGUCAAGUCCUCAUUGGCCCUUAUGGGUAGGGCUUCACACGUCAUACAAUGGUCGGUACAGAGGGUUGCCAAGCCGCGAGGUGGAGCCAAUCCCUUAAAGCCGAUCGUAGUCCGGAUCGUAGUCUGCAACUCGACUACGUGAAGUCGGAAUCGCUAGUAAUCGCAGAUCAGCAUGCUGCGGUGAAUACCGGUUCCCGGGUCUU